Molecule: long non-coding RNA, 451 nt
Organism: Cyprinus carpio carpio
Lineage: Eukaryota; Metazoa; Chordata; Actinopteri; Cypriniformes; Cyprinidae
Source: Ensembl
GAGGGAAUGCUGUGUGUCAAGAGAUUAAGUGCUGUAAAGGAAUCAAUCGAAGAGGGAAGUGAGAGGCAAAAAGGGUGUUGUGUGAAACAUAUGUGUGAGAAAUGUGAGCAAACGGUGAAUUAUUGGAUAGAGGAAGCAGAUAAGAGAGAAAGAAGAGCGAUACAGAAAGAAUUAGCAGGUAGAAAAGAGGAAAAGAGAAAUGAAAAAUAACUGCUGUGUGGACACAGUGAGAGAUGGGUUUAGGGCCUAAGAGUAAGCUGUAUGGGCAACAGGUGGUCCACGGAGCCGUGUUGGGUGCAGAAGGGAGACACCUGGGAGGAAACAGAUGUCUGAGGAUGACCUGAGUGGCGCUGCUGCAGAAGCGCGAGGGCUCAUCUCAGCUGAUGAUGGAUUCAGUGUAUCGCUUCCAGGUCACCUUCCUCUUCUGCUCCUCUCCACAAGCUCCUACAGG